This 500-nucleotide ribosomal RNA is filed under the name uncultured bacterium. RNAcentral's name for it is "partial 16S ribosomal RNA". It matches the Rfam family "Bacterial small subunit ribosomal RNA", at positions 30 to 523 of the family's 1533-position model. The record is from RNAcentral.
AUUGAACGCUGGCGGCAUGCUUUACACAUGCAAGUCGAACGGUAACAGGGUGCUUGCACCGCUGACGAGUGGCGAACGGGUGAGUAAUGCGUCGGAGCGUGCCGAGUAGUGGGGGAUAACGCAGCGAAAGUUGUGCUAAUACCGCAUACGUACUGAGGUAGAAAGUGGGGGACCUUCGGGCCUCACGCUAUUCGAGCGGCCGACGUCUGAUUAGCUAGUAGGUGAGGUAAAGGCUCACCUAGGCGACGAUCAGUAGCGGGUCUGAGAGGAUGAUCCGCCACACUGGGACUGAGACACGGCCCAGACUCCUACGGGAGGCAGCAGUGGGGAAUUUUGGACGAUGGGCGAAAGCCUGAUUCAGCCAUGCCGCGUGUCUGAAGAAGGCCUUCGGGUUGUAAAGGACUUUUGUCAGGGAGGAAAUCCCUAGUGCUAAUAACACUGGGGGAUGACAGUACCUGAAGAAUAAGCACCGGCUAACUACGUGCCAGCAGCCGCGGUAA